Molecule: ribosomal RNA, 350 nt
Filed under: uncultured bacterium
Lineage: Bacteria
Description: bacterial SSU rRNA
Rfam family: Bacterial small subunit ribosomal RNA
Source: RNAcentral
CUGCAUGGCUGUCGUCAGCUCGUGUCGUGAGAUGUUGGGUUAAGUCCCGCAACGAGCGCAACCCUCACUUUUAGUUGCCAUCGUUUAGUUGGGCACUCUGAAAGAACUGCCAGUGAUAAGCUGGAGGAAGGUGGGGAUGACGUCAAGUCCUCAUGGCCCUUACGUGUUGGGCUACACACGUGCUACAAUGGCAUUUACAACAGGAAGCAAAACGUCGACGUUAAGCAAAUCCUAAAAAAAUGCCUCAGUUCGGAUUGUACUCUGCAGCUCGAGUACAUGAAGCUGGAAUUACUAGUAAUCGCAGAUCAGCGCGCGCGGUGAAUACGUUCCCGGGUCUUGUACCAACAAUC